AGUGAACGCUGGCGGUAGGCCUAACACAUGCAAGUCGAACGGCAGCACAGUAAGAGCUUGCUCUUACGGGUGGCGAGUGGCGGACGGGUGAGGAAUACAUCGGAAUCUACUUUUUCGUGGGGGAUAACGUAGGGACACUUACGCUAAUACCGCAUACGACCUACGGGUGAAAGCAGGGGAUCUUCGGACCUUGCGCGAUUGUAUGAGCCGAUGUCGGAUUAGCUAGUUGGCGGGUUAAAGGCCCACCAAGGCGACGAUCCGUAGCUGGUCUGAGAGGAUGAUCAGCCACACUGGAACUGAGACACGGUCCAGACUCCUACGGGAGGCAGCAGUGGGGACUCUUGACCCCUGGGCGCGCGCCUGCUCCCGCCCUGCCGCGUGUGUGAAGAAGGCCUUCGGGUUGUAAAGCCCUUUUGUUGGGAAAGAACAGCAGCAAGUUAAUACCCCGCUGUUCUGACGGUACCCGACGAAUAAGCACCGGCUAACUUCGUG
RNAcentral lists this ribosomal RNA (492 nucleotides) under uncultured bacterium. RNAcentral's name for it is "partial 16S ribosomal RNA". It matches the Rfam family "Bacterial small subunit ribosomal RNA", at positions 29 to 507 of the family's 1533-position model. The record is from RNAcentral.